Molecule: ribosomal RNA, 449 nt
Filed under: uncultured bacterium
Lineage: Bacteria
Description: partial 16S ribosomal RNA
Rfam family: Bacterial small subunit ribosomal RNA
Source: RNAcentral
UAGGGAAUCUUCCACAAUGGACGCAAGUCUGAUGGAGCAACGCCGCGUGAGUGAAGAAGGUUUUCGGACCGUAAAGCUCUGUUGUUGGUGAAGAAGGAUAGAGGUAGUAACUGGCCUUUAUUUGACGGUAAUCAACCAGAAAGUCACGGCUAACUACGUGCCAGCAGCCGCGGUAAUACGUAGGUGGCAAGCGUUGUCCGGAUUUAUUGGGCGUAAAGCGAGCGCAGGCGGAAGAAUAAGUCUGAUGUGAAAGCCCUCGGCUUAACCGAGGAAUUGCAUCGGAAACUGUUUUCUUGAGUGCAGAAGAGGAGAGUAGAACUCCAUGUGUAGCGGUGGAAUGCGUAGAUAUAUGGAAGAAUACCAGUGGCGAAGGCGGCUCUCUGGUCUGCAACUGACGCUGAGGCUCGAAAGCAUGGGUAGCGAACAGGAUUAGAUACCCUGGUAGUCCA